UUUUUUUUUUUUUUUUUUUUUUUUUAAUCUGGAAAAGGAAGACAGGCACUGGUACAACAGGUUCAGCCUCUUAGAGAAUGAUAUUCCCAAACUGCAGCAGAUUUGAUUUGUAAAUUUUAGCCCUUUAAGGAAUAAAGUUGUGUAGAAAUUCUGACUCCCUAAAAACAUUAAAAUCAGUCUACUGGUACUGGGUGGGGAAAGCAAGGGGGAUCCUUGUGUUCACUCCCAGAGUUUUUCUCUUUUAACUUUGGUUGGUUUUUUUGUUUUUUUGUUUUGUUUUGUUUUUGAUUUUUUUCCAUUAUAGCUGGUUUACAGUGUUCUGUCAAUUUUCUAGUGUACAGCAGGGUGACCCAAUCACACAUACACAUGUACAUUCCUUUUAACUUUGAUCCUCCAUCCCAACCUUUUACUGGAGAAGAUUGGAGUUUGUGGAGGUGGCAUGGACUUACGUGGGAACUGGCUCCCCAUGAAUCAGGAUGGGACCCUCCCUGCCCUUCCUACCCUGACACCCCAGCCAGCCUUUGAAAAGGCCCAGCUGCCAAGGCUGGAGGAGGAGACAUGCAUACAUUCUGGCCUGGACAGGGGGUUGAAUUGAAUACCAGACCUUUAGGUCCUCAGACUUGCCAGGUCAGAAGCAUCUCAACUAGAGAAGUCCAUGCAACCACACACCAGAGCCUUGCAACAAGCUGUCUGUUGCUCACUGGAGAGUCAUCUGCCUGGGCCUUUUAUGGGCAUGAUGUGUCUAUAUCUGUUUUUGAUUUUCACUCUCCAUUUGGGGGAAGUGAAAUAGCUCAGAGAUGAGAUCGUUUAAUUGGACAGCCAAGUGUAAGGGAACCCAGCAAACCCUCUAAUGUCAUGGUAAAACAUCACAAUCAGCUAGAAACUGAACGUCAGCAUUCUCAGAUGCAGCGGGCAGCAUCAGGGUAUGUAGAGAGUUCACCCUGGAUCAAGGCCCUCUCCGCAGCUCCUCCCUGGCUGUGGUCCAGGUCCACGUGUUGAGUUGUUUGGUCCAGAGUUGUAGUCACACGAACACCUGCCCUUGCUUCCCUUCCUGCUGCAUAUCUAUUUACCCUGGUAAAGAAAGUACACCAAUGACAAUGCAUGUCUUUAGACAACUGGUCUACCAGUUCAGAUGUAGAAGCAGUGAGAUGGGGAAUUUUAGGUGUCUGUGUCUGUCCAGGAAAGAGCUUCAGCCAACACAUAGGAAUUUGGAAAUCUCCUGUCAAUCCUGACUGGCCCUUACUAGUUCCCUCUGGCCCAGGAAACAAAUAACAAAUCCCCGGGGCCUUAACACCCGUGAUGCUGAUGGUCCUGCACAAAGAGUCCAAAACGGUUGUGUGUAAGAACUUGUGCAUUUUAUAGUUUUUACUCUCUGUCCCAAGGAAUCUGGGAGAGAAGGGGCCUGUUAGGGGUGAAAGGCAUCAUCUCCCCAAGGGAAAUCUGGGUCUGUCUCCAAAACGUUUUCAAAAUAUUUAUAGCAACUGGCGGACGUGUACCAAGGCUUGCCAGGAUCCAAAAGGAAGUGAGCCCAGAGCUUCAUGGGUAUCAUUCCACAGGGGGUGUCCUGUCUCCUUAAUCCAGAGGCCCAAAGGUGAGCCUGGCCCGCUCUCCUCCAGUCAGGAAGCAUGGUUUGGCCCUGCAUUCCUCCAAGGUGCUGCUUGUGGGGAGGCUCCUGCAUCACAUUGUGUGAGGGGACAGGGGGGUCAAGGGUGGCAGAGAGAGGAGGAAGGAGUCCUCUUCAUCCUGUGUGCCCUGCCAAUCUGAACCCAGAACUCCUGGGUAUCGAUGGCCUUGGCCAGGACCUUGGAAAGGCUUCUUUUCUGGCCUAGGUACCAACAUGUGUCUCCAGCCAAAGGCUGGUUGGAGGGCAGCUGUCCUCAGAUGACUCACCCCAGGAGCAUCCUGGGUGGGGGUGGGGGAGCCUUUACCUCAUCUUCUGAGCUGGCCUGUUCCUUUCUCCCAUCAGAAUGGGCCAGAGAGAACUGCUGGGCUGCCUCUUCUUUGGCAGGGCUUUUGGUCUCUCUGAACCACAUUGUUUGGGCAGGAGCCAGAAAAGGUGGGUGGAGUUUCCUUGCCCAUAGGAUGAUGUGCUUGCCCAUUUCUUAUGGCUGGAGUUAGCUCUUUGGUCCCCCAGAAGUUGAGUUCAUUUUCCCCUUUUGCUCACUGGCUUCUAGCUCUCCUUGCUUCCACUGGGAGUGGACGGUCAGUGUUGGAGGAAAGAUAAUAAAAGCCAGUUUAGGGAGUUCCCUGGUGGCUCAGCAGGUUAAGGACCUGGCGUUGUCACUGCUAUGGCUCAGGUUUGAUCCCUAGCCCUGGAACUUCUCAUGCCAUGGGUG
Molecule: long non-coding RNA, 2336 nt
Filed under: Sus scrofa (pig)
Lineage: Eukaryota; Metazoa; Chordata; Mammalia; Artiodactyla; Suidae
Description: lncRNA (ENSSSCG00055016883.1)
Source: RNAcentral